UACGUAGGGCGCAAGCGUUGUCCGGAAUUAUUGGGCGUAAAGAGCUCGUAGGCGGUCUGUCGCGUCUGUUGUGAAAAACUCGAGGCUCAACCUCGGGCUUGCAGUGGAUACGGGCAGACUAGAGUGCGGUAGGGGAGACUGGAAUUCCUGGUGUAGCGGUGGAAUGCGCAGAUAUCAGGAGGAACACCGAUGGCGAAGGCAGGUCUCUGGGCCGCAACUGACGCUGAGGAGCGAAAGCAUGGGGAGCGAACAGG
This 254-nucleotide ribosomal RNA is filed under the name uncultured bacterium. RNAcentral's name for it is "partial 16S ribosomal RNA". It matches the Rfam family "Bacterial small subunit ribosomal RNA", at positions 524 to 776 of the family's 1533-position model. The record is from RNAcentral.